UAAUCAUUUGUCUACUAAUUAUAGACCUGUAUGAAAGGCAAAAUGAGGGUCCAACUGUCUCUUAUAAUAAAUCAAUUAAACUGAUCUCCUAGUAAAAAAGCUAGAAUAAGACCAUAAGACCAGAAGACCCUGUGAAGCUUAAAUCAAACUACUAAAUCUCAUAGUAAUUACUUUCGGUUGGGGCGACCUUGGAAAAAAAUAGAACUUCCAAAUAUACGACUACAUCAUAGUAUAAAUUAGGCUAACAAGCCAACAAUAUGACCCAGUACAACUGACAAUUGAACCAAGUUACUCCAGGGAUAACAGCGCAAUCUUCUUCAAGAGCCCAUAUCAAAAAGAAGGUUUACGACCUCGAUGUUGGAUCAGGACAUCCUAAUGGUGCAGCCGCUAUUAAGGGUU
Molecule: ribosomal RNA, 399 nt
Filed under: Phyllorhynchus decurtatus
Lineage: Eukaryota; Metazoa; Chordata; Lepidosauria; Squamata; Colubridae
Description: partial 16S ribosomal RNA
Rfam family: Bacterial large subunit ribosomal RNA
Source: RNAcentral